AGUGAGGAAAAGAUGGAAGAGAGAGUAGAUGACGAUGUGGUUCAUGAUGAUAGCAAAGGUGAAGGGGAGGUGGUGUUGAUGGUGAUGGUGGGUAGGAGUUGGGUAAGACUAUUACACAAACACCCCAAAAAUCUGUGGCUGUGAAGUGAUCCCUUCAUAGUGUGACUUGAAUGUAAGUGUCAAUUUUGUGUCAGUCGGUGGCCAG
This is a long non-coding RNA of Perca fluviatilis (European perch), 205 nucleotides long. RefSeq lists it as uncharacterized. The record is from RefSeq and is a predicted model, not a curated record. Lineage: Eukaryota; Metazoa; Chordata; Actinopteri; Perciformes; Percidae. The transcript has 3 exons.